CUGGGGCGGCGACCAGCCUGAACCAGCCAUGCCGCGAGAAAGAGGACGGUCUAUGGUUUGUAAACUGCUUUUGUACGGGAAAAAACACUCCUUCGUGAAGGAGCUUGACGGUACCGUAAGAAUAAGGAUCGGCUAACUCCGUGCCAGCAGCCGCGGUAAUACGGAGGAUCCAAGCGUUAUCCGGAAUCAUUGGGUUUAAAGGGUCCGUAGGCGGUUUGAUAAGUCAGUGGUGAAAGCCCAUCGCUCAACGAUGGAACGGCCAUUGAUACUGUUAGACUUGAAUUAUUAGGAAGUAACUAGAAUAUGUAGUGUAGCGGUGAAAUGCUUAGAUAUUACAUGGAAUACCAAUUGCGAAGGCAGGUUACUACUAAUGGAUUGACGCUGAUGGACGAAAGCGUGGGGAGCGAACAGGAUUAGAUACCCUGGUAGUCCACGCCGUAAACGAUGGAUACUAGCUGUUGGGAGCAAUCUCAGUGGCUAAGCGAAAGUGAUAAGUAUCCCACCUGGGGAGUACGUUCCCAAGAAUGAAACUCAAAUGAAUUGACGG
RNAcentral lists this ribosomal RNA (547 nucleotides) under uncultured bacterium. RNAcentral describes it as "bacterial SSU rRNA". It matches the Rfam family "Bacterial small subunit ribosomal RNA", at positions 359 to 916 of the family's 1533-position model. The record is from RNAcentral.